UUCGCAAUGCCCGAAAGGGUGACGAAGCGACGCCGCGUGUGGGAAGAAGGCCUUCGGGUUGUAAACCACUGUUGGGAGUUAGGAAGUGUGGAGGUGUUAAUAGCGCUUUCACUUGACUAAAGCUCCAGAGGAAGCCACGGCUAACUCUGUGCCAGCAGCCGCGGUAAUACAGAGGCGGCAAGCGUUGUUCGGAAUUAUUGGGCGUAAAGAGCACGUAGGCGGCUAUGUAAGUCGGUUGUGAAAGCCUUCCGCUCAACGGGAGAACAGCAUCCGAUACUGCAUGGCUUGAGUGCGGGAGGGGAGAGUGGAACUUCUGGUGGAGCGGUGAAAUGCGUAGAUAUCAGAAGGAACGCCGGCGGCGAAAGCGGCUCUCUGGCCCAUAACUGACGCUGAGUGUGCGAAAGCUAGGGGAGCAAACGGGAUUAGAUACCCCGGUAGUCCUAGCCGUAAACGAUGGGCACUAAGUAGAG
Molecule: ribosomal RNA, 470 nt
Filed under: uncultured bacterium
Lineage: Bacteria
Description: bacterial SSU rRNA
Rfam family: Bacterial small subunit ribosomal RNA
Source: RNAcentral